This 386-nucleotide long non-coding RNA is filed under the name Zostera marina. RNAcentral's name for it is "long non-coding RNA (ZMAR_LNC000029)". Lineage: Eukaryota; Viridiplantae; Streptophyta; Magnoliopsida; Alismatales; Zosteraceae. The record is from RNAcentral.
AUGGGUCGAGCAUAGAUGGGUCUACCAUAGCGGUAGAGACCCGUGGCAUCUUGGAAACGUCGAUUGGUGGGUUUGAUAUCCUUGUUCUUGGAAUGCUUGUUGAUGUACCUGUAGAUGACCUUCUCUUUAACCUUUUUGGACUGUUUUCCCAGACCUGAUUAGAUAGAGUACGUAAUUAGCUAUUUAAUCAGUUGAAAAUCAGAAGUUAAUUACCAGGCAAUUAAUUAUUAACUCACCUGAUGUUUUCCCUAUAGUGUCCCUUGCACACUGCACUGCUAUGAAGAAGAGGAACAAGAGCAGAAUAUGUCUGCAAGAAUAGCCCAUUUCUGUCACGGAAACUUCAAGCUUUUCGUUUACGUACAUGGCCGGUAUUUAUAGAGAGCUAG